Molecule: long non-coding RNA, 3644 nt
Filed under: Xyrichtys novacula (pearly razorfish)
Lineage: Eukaryota; Metazoa; Chordata; Actinopteri; Labriformes; Labridae
Source: RNAcentral
UAUUGCAUUUCCACCUCCCUUGACACAUAACCUCCCCUUGCCUCUAAAUCAACCAGCAAGGCCCUUUAUUAAUAGCCUGUCAGCGGAGUUAACAUUUAUUUCAUGUGUAUUCAUAUGAGCAGGUUUUACAAAUGGCCCAGUGCUUGUGAACCUGCUCUUGAAAAAUUAGCCUUGUUUUUUCAGCCCUCUCCUCAUGAAUUUCAAUGACUAAGUGAAGGCACUGCUAUGUGUCUACCUAAAUGCUGCUCUCAGCCUGGGGGUAAAAAAUGGAGAGGGGCUAAAUUUAGAUUGCUCAGAAAAAUCUCAGCAUUUGGCUAUCAUACUAUGAUGAGGCCGCUGUGAUAGUUAUUGAUGCUUAGAUGAAGAAACUCACUAAAGUUUAUGUGAAAAUGCAGAUGGAGAAAGGACUAAUGGGGAAAACAGGAUACUUAAAGGGAUAUUCCAGCGUAAAAUUAAGUUAGGGUCAAACACACCCAAACACUAAGUUAGACACACUGUCGAGAGAUGAAUGUUGCCGACCGCUUGCUUCUCUAGUUAUACCAACCCUAGGAACGACCACAGGAUAGCAAUACACAGCGGUCUAAGGAGCCACGCGCUCAACCAAAAAGCCACUCUAUAGCCACAAAUAAUGCUCAGAACAGCACCUAACUUCAUCAACAGUACAAAUAGGGUCCCAGGCACAGCACUAGCCACCAAACAUCUUUUUAACUUUGCCUGAUUACUUUAGCAAAGAGACUAAACACAACUCACCUACUCUCUUCCAGCAGCCGCCCGUUUGUAGCGAGACCUCAGGCCAGUCCAUUACGGACUACAGCGGAGGGACGCAGCUCAAGGAAGAACAUUUAUGAUCAUUUCUUCAUGGAAAUGUAAUCAGACCGAGACGCUAAGGCAGAAGAAUUACCGCGUCUGCAGUGCAAAAUGAUUAAUAUGAUGAUUAUUACUUCAAGGAAAUGAUUAAGUGAUGUAAUGUGCUGUUCUAAGCAUUAUUUGUAGCUAUAGAGUGGCUUUUUGGUUGAGGUUUGUUUAUGGCUCCUCAGACCGCUGUGUAUUGCUAUCCUGCGGUUGUUACUAAAGUUGGUAUAACUACAGAAGCAAGCGGUCUGCAACAUUCAUCUCUCGACAGUGUGUCUAACUCUGUGUUACAGUGUGUUUCAUCCUAACUUAAUUUUACGCCGGAAUAUCCCUCUGAAAUGAUUAUUUUCUUUUUACAUUUACUGGGGAACUUUCAACAUUUUGUGUGUGACAUAUAUGUAAACAAACUUAUUACUUUGAGCUGCGCUGUCAUCUCUUAAAUCGAUUGCAGGCCACUGAAUGUAACUGACUAGAAUCAGAAUCCUACGGCAAAACCUUCUGUGAUAUCAGCGAAAAUAGUACUGUUGUCCAAAUAAGCCUUUUAUUAUGUUUUUUUUUUAUCUACAAAACCUGUUGUGUACACCCUAUUCUAUUCUGACUGACCACCCAAAACAGAAGUUUCAAAUCUGAGGUGUAAAAAGUAAGUCACAAAGGAGAACCAGUGAUACCAUAAAAGAUGUCAUCAAAAGAUAUCUAGUGCAGAUUUCCCUAUAAAUAAGAAAAACAGAGAGCAUCUCUACAGAAUAUUUGGGAGCCCAUUAUUUCAUUUUGUGAAUGCCAAGUGUUUUCUCGGCAUUGGCAGCUACAGAAGGAAACCUGGUGUGCUGACACAAAUUGAUUACUGGGUCGGACAGACAAUCUAUUCCUUCCUCUAAACUGAUAGCAAAGACUGGCAGGAUGAGAAAGGUCGGCUGUACGUAGACAACAAAGAAAAAAAGGAGAGCUAGAGGGAGAGAGAGAUAAUAGGAUGGGAAAACAGAGAGGGAAGAGCAGGAUUUGCAAAGUUUUGCAACAACUUCCCAUUUUCUAAGACAAACAUGCCAAUGGAGGGCUUUUGCAUUGCAGAUCUAUCCAGCGAUAGUGCUGUGCCUGACAGAAUUUUAAUCAUACGCGUUUCCUACCUUUUCUGUUUAUAAAACUGCUGGUAGCUAAAAACAAGCUCUGUGUAUUAACUUCAGGGGGAAAGCCUUUAUAUUUAUAUAUAUUCAUAUAUUUGUUCUUUUUCAAACUUGACAUGAUGUGGACGAUAGUUUCUUUGAAUACAAAGACAAUCAAUUGAUAAAAUGAGUGAGUAAUGAAUGCAAGUUUUCUUACAUGUAUACAGCAUUGCUCAGCCAAACACUCAAAACUGAGUGUUUAACAAGUCACCGUCUUGUUAAUGUUAAUAUCUGAUUUUAGGUUGUCAUCAUCUCAUCUUCAAGGGUUAGGACCAAACUUUGAAGACAGCAGUACGAGAGGUUAAUAUUCAAUAUGAGACCUCGCUCCUAAAUGAAGACAUUAACAACAGAGAGAGACGUAUCUUAGGACCUCUUUCUCUCAUUAGAGGAGCCUAGCAGUGUGUUGGGGGUUAUCGGAGCAGAGGCAGAGAGAGACAAAUGAUCAUCUAAAUCAAUGAUAAUGUCAAACCGGUCGAUUGUUUUUUUUAUCCAGACCUAUUUAUCAAGGAAUCUUCAGUGUUAUUUACCUUUGUUUCUAAUAUCAAAGGGAAGCUUCUGUCAUCUUUUUACGACAGUGACUGCAGACCCUGACCGCUUUGUUUCAGCUUCUGUUUCCUAAGCCACCACCAUCCCUCCAAACAUGAGCUUAACAUACUGCAGUUUAACAUCAUUGUUGUCGGUGAAUUAAGCCUGAAAUUGCUUUCUUUAAACAGCUGAGCCUCUUCAGCUAGCUCCGUCCAUAAUACAUUUAAGUCUUUCUCCAGUAAAAUGCACAGAGCUGCCAGGGCUAAUGGCAUAGUCCACACACAUGAUUGUUGUAAACACAGAGGAGCAUAGACCUGAGCUGGUUAGACCUGCACAAGGUAAGCAUUCGGGAUCAGACCUUUGUCACCAAUACUGAUUCAGCUUUAUGGGUCAGUAUCUGGCCAAUACCCAAUACCAGGAUCAGUGCAUCCCUGAAAUUUGGUGUGCUAUUUGUUCAUUUUAGUUCACCAUGGUAAUGCUGCAGCAGCAUAUUCCUGCUUUCUGCUGCUGCCAUAAUGAAAAUAACUCCACUGCUAAGCUUUCGACCGGCACACUCAACCUUAAGUAAUCUGCACUUAGUGACAAACAGAAUCAAAACAUCCACAAAGUGCUUCAAGUUUGAGCUUGUACCUACCAGCUUGGCAUGCAGGUGCAUUUAACUGGACUGAUGUCAGCUGGCAACCACACCACAUAAACUGGAGGAGCUGAUUUUGGUGUGUGAAUCACCGCAGCUCUGUGGUUGAAACUAAAAUCAAGACAUUAACUACAACACUUGACAAACUGGUGGCAACUGUCUGCAGGCUUGUUAAUGUCAUGGAAGACUCCAGUUGAAGUGACGACUGAGAGAGGUCUGCAUGUUGACCCCAGUCAGAUGUCUCACUUUACUGGCAACAUAGUUUGAUGUAAAGUUAAACGCCAUUUCUCUUUUUGAACAUAAUUUUACAAUUGGGUCUGCAAAAAGAUGAUCCUUUACUUAACUAUUACAUUUUUCACAUUUCAUAGUUUUGUUGAGCCCAAGCUGCAAUAAGAAGUCAAGCCAGUGUGGAAGUUUAAAAAAUAAAAAUCUGAGUGUUGAGUCCCAAAAGCCGCUGAAACCCAAGUCCAACCAGU